GACGAACGCUGGCGGCGUGCUUAACACAUGCAAGUCGAACGGAAAGGCCCUGCUUUCGUGGGGUGCCCGAGUGGCGAACGGGUGAGUAACACGUGAGUAACCUGCCCUUGACUUUGGGAUAACUUCAGGAAACUGGGGCUAAUACCGGAUAGGAGCUCCUGCUGCAUGGUGGGGGUUGGACAGUUUCGGCGGUUGUGGCUGGACGGGGGGCUUAUCAGCUUGUUGGUGGGGGAUCGGCUUACGAAGGCUUCGACGGGUGGCCGGCCUGGGAGGGGGAUCAGCCACCAUGCUCCUGCGGGACGGAGCAGUGUGCAACGUGGGACAGUGGUCGAGAGUAUUGCACAGUCGUGCGACGCCUGAUGCAGCGGCGCCCCGUGCGUGAAGACGGCCUUCGGGUUAUAAACCGCUUUCAGCUGAGACGAUGCGGUAGUGACGGUAACGAGUGAAGAAGCACCGGCUAACUACGUG
Molecule: ribosomal RNA, 468 nt
Filed under: uncultured bacterium
Lineage: Bacteria
Description: partial 16S ribosomal RNA
Rfam family: Bacterial small subunit ribosomal RNA
Source: RNAcentral